AGCAGCCGCGGUAAUACGGAGGGGGCUAGCGUUGUCCGGAGUCACUGGGCGUAAAGCGCGCGUAGGCGGCCUGUUAAGUUGGAUGUGAAAGCCCGGGGCUCAACCUCGGAGGCGCAUCCGAGACUGGCGGGCUGGAGUCCGGGAGAGGGCGGCGGAAUUCCCAGUGUAGAGGUGAAAUUCGUAGAUAGUGGGAAGAACACCGGUGGCGAAGGCGGCCGCCUGGUCCGGCACUGACGCUGAGGCGCGAAAGCGUGGGGAGCAAA
This 263-nucleotide ribosomal RNA is filed under the name uncultured bacterium. Its description in RNAcentral is "partial 16S ribosomal RNA". It matches the Rfam family "Bacterial small subunit ribosomal RNA", at positions 510 to 772 of the family's 1533-position model. The record is from RNAcentral.